UACGUAGGGGGCAAGCGUUGUCCGGAAUCAUUGGGCGUAAAGCGCGUGUAGGCGGUCCGAUAAGUCCGCUCUGAAAGCCCGGGGCUCAACCCCGGGAGGCGGGCGGAUACUGUCGGGCUAGAGUCCGGAAGAGGCAAGUGGAAUUCCUGGUGUAGCGGUGAAAUGCGCAGAUAUCAGGAGGAACACCGGUGGCGAAGGCGGAUCUCUGGGCCUGUCCUGACGCUCAGGCGCGAAAGCUAGGGGAGCAAACAGG
RNAcentral lists this ribosomal RNA (253 nucleotides) under uncultured bacterium. Its description in RNAcentral is "partial 16S ribosomal RNA". It matches the Rfam family "Bacterial small subunit ribosomal RNA", at positions 524 to 776 of the family's 1533-position model. The record is from RNAcentral.